GGGCCGGGGCUCCCUCGACAUCUCCCGGGAGGGCGGUUUUGGACUGUGGGAGGCUCGCGUUUCCGCCAUAGGGAACCCUUGGGUUAUAUUGUAAAGAGCCGUUUGCGCUUAUUUUUGUCCAUACAGUUACAUGGCUCAGUUCUGUGGUUCAGCGUUUCAAAAAAACCCCGACACCUGAGCUCUGGUUUCCUGCAGCAGCGUGGGGUUUGCUGUCGCUGCUCUGGAACUGAGCGUCUUACCUACUGCAACUCAAAUGAAUACCCUGCUCAUAGGGUUCUUCAUGGCUUUUUAAUGCGCUCAUUUGUCCCUAAUUCGUUAUUCUAAAAACAGUAAUUUCUGUGAGUAUCACUGAACUGCGUUGUCUCUUUGUAGAGGAACAGAGUGUGUGUUCUGGUGUGACACCUGGACUUGGCAGCAUGGAGAAGGUUUCCAAACGUCUGUAUGUUGGAGGGCUUGGCCAUACGAUUUCCAAGGCUGAGCUGGAAGAAAAAUUUGGCAAGUUUGGGCGUGUUUUGGAGGCAGAGAUUAUUACCAGGAAAGAUGAUCAGGGGAAUCCUACAAAAACUUUUGCUUACAUCAGUGUCAACAUUUCUGAUGCAGAUCUCAGAAAGUGCGUGUCUGUUUUAAAUAAAACAAAAUGGAAAGGGGGGACACUGCAAAUUGAGCUGGCCAAAGAAAGCUUUUUGCACAGGCUGGCCACGGAGAGGGAGGAAGCAAAGCUGCAGAAAGAAAAACCAGAGAGAAAUGACCAAAUGUAUCUGUUGGAAUCACUGAAAAAGAAGGGAGUUGUGGACUUCCACAUGAGAGCAGUACCAGGUACAGAGGUGCCAGAUCAUAAGAAAUGGGUUGUUGGAAAAUUUGGCAGAGUCUUGCCUAUCCUGCACCUCAGGAAUCAACAAAAAAAUAAAGUGGUCAAGUAUGACCCCUCAAAGUAUUGCCACAACCUGAGGAAGCUGGAGCCAGAGCUGGUACAUGCAGCUCCUGUAUCCCAGCUCACCUGGAGCCUGGAAGGAGGAGAUGACAGCGUGACCAGGAAACGGCAAGGGGAAUUCCCUGGGAUGAGGAAACCACCAGAGAAAAGGAUGCAGCUGGGCAGAGAGGCCCUGAGUGGAACAACUCUGUCCUCUGUCCUCUGUCCUCCAAAACACACAGACUCAACCCAGCUCAAAGAAAGAUCAAAACCUAAACCUGGUGAGGAGUUGAAAUUGCCUCCAGCAAGGAGACUGGAUGGGAAAAUAUCUAAAAAUGCUAAUGGAGUUACAGCCAAAAGUAAAAACAGUGUUCCUGAUAGUGAUAUUGAUUCUGAAGAGGAGAUCAAAGCAAUGGUAAAGAGAGAGGCAGAAAGACAAAAAGUUGAAAAUGUUGAGACUGAAAGUGAGCACUUGGAAAUUGUUGAGGAUAAUUUUGAAUUAAAAUACAGUAGCCACUGGUCCUUAAGCAAUUCGGAUACCGUGACGAAAGCUAUCAAAGGAAGUAACAAAGAGAAAGAGACAAUGGAAUGUGAUAAUGGUUAUGAUUCAGCAGAUACUGAUGAAAUAAUUUCUGAAAGUAAAAUUUUGGAAGACUCUAAACAGGGGAGGGUGAAAAAUAAAGAAAUACUAGUUAAAAACAGAAGUGGUUUGGUAAAUAGCUCCUCACUGAAACUACGCAGUUUAAAAGAAAAACACAUUGAAAGAAAAGGGAAAGUUAAAAAAUCCAGAAUUGCUGCCUUGCAGAGUACAGCAGCCAGCAGUACAACAGAAACAUGUGAUAGUGACAGCUCUUGUUCAAAGUCUGAAAUCAGCUCUGAUUUUGAGACUAUGAUGCAAAACUGUUACCGCUUAGACCUUACAUUGGAUGACUUAAAAGCAUUGGCUACAGAAAACACUGGGACACCUGUAGAGGGGUCAGGCAGUGAACAGAGUCCUUGUCAGUCCAGCAUUGAAGAUAAUCCCAAGGAUAAUACUGUGAAUAAACCAAAACUUUCUAAAUGUCACCCUGCAAUUAAAAAAAAAAACAUCUGUCCUGAAGAUGUGCUGGCUGAUAUUUUAGCAGGGGAGGAGGAUACUGUUGAGGAGAGCUCCAAGGAACAGAGUAAUUCACAUUUGAAGUAUCAGCCCUUCAGAGGAAUGAGGUCCCUUUGUGUAAAAGAGUUAAGUAAGGACAGCACUGACUUAAAGAAGAAGUCUGUUGAAAGUUUGGGAGUUGAGGCUUAUACAUCUUAUUUUGGGGAGGAAUCAUCUAAAAAUCAGCUAAAGAACCGUCCCUUGUGUUCACUUGAAGUCAUCAGCAAAAAGAGACACAAAGUGCCUUAUGAACAGCAUGAGGAACUGCCAGCUGCUGCCUGCUCAGCAGGUCAGAGACUUCAGCCUGGUUCCAGGCCUCAUUUGCAAGAGAAGAACAAAGGUGUGAGUUCUCUACAAGACCAAAACUCAGAGCACAGAGCUGCUGCUGCCAGUACUGAUCAUGAUGAUGGUAGCAGUGACAUGGACAGUGAUGCUGCAGGGGCCCGGGAGCACAUUAAAGAGCAGCCAAAGAGCCCAAAACUGCUUUCCAAAACAUUAAAGAGGAAUACAAGCAAAAAAACCACAGAAUGUGAAGGUAAUAAAGGUGGAAAUGAGAACACAAGCCUUCUAGAAGAUAAGGAACUUUGUGUUCUUGCUGCUGCCUCAAAGGAGUCCAGUACAAUAGAGAAACGGCUCCAAGACAACCAGAGGAGGCUGGCAGCUCUGGAAGAGAGACACAGAGAGAGGGAAUUACAGAAGAAACUCAUUCAAGGAGCUCUUUCAAAUCUGGACAGGCAGCCAGCAGGACAGCACAAACACAUCAUAUUCAAUUCUGAUGUGGAAGACGAAGCUGAAGUGGAUGAGAUGUUGAAAAAGGAUGCAAGUUUGGGAAAAGGGCAUGGAGAAGAUAAGUCAGGUCCCAAACCUUCGAGCAGACUGUUUGAGAGCAGUGAGGAUGAGCAAGAGGAUAUGGAUGAUGAGCGAUUCAAAAUUAAACCCCAAUUUGAAGGCAAAGCUGGUGAAAAACUCCUGCAGCUUCAAUCUCGCUUUGGCACCGAUGAAAGGUUCCGCAUGGAUGCUCGAUUCCUUGAGAGUGACAGUGACGGAGAAGCAGAGACAAACAACCUGAAGGCAGAUGAAGAUGAGGAGCUUGCUGCGGAGAAAAAGAAAAAUCUGCAAAUACUGGGAAGCCUCCUGAAUAUCAACCUGGAGCAGCCCGAGCCAAAUAAAACAGCCACAAGUGUGAAGAAAUUCAAAGAUAUUAAUGCCCUCCGUUAUGAUCCAACAAGAGAGGACCAUGCAGUUUUUGAAAGGAAACUAAGUGCUACAGAAAAUAAGAGUAAAGCCAAAAGGAAGAAGAAAGAAGAGAGUGAGACACUGCCUCAAGUGUCUGAAGAAAUUUAUUAUGAUAUUGCUGCUGAUUUAAAAGACUUGUUUGGAGCUUCAAAGAACAAACCAGAAAAGACUGUGGAAAUACCCUGGGACAAAGAGGAUGCACAGGACUCUGCCCCAGGUGACCAUUUUGGACCUUUGCCCAAGAACGGCACAGCUCAGGAGUAGAGUGCUUUCAAGUUUUCCUUCUUUGGAGACACAGAGGAGUUGGGCAUCAAAGAAGAUAAAUGAGGCCUUAUGAAAAGAAGAUGAAACAACAUUAAAUUGACUAACAGACCUGUAGGAGAGAAAAGAAGCCAUGUGAAGUUAUCCAAAAUAUUAAAAAAACCAACGCAACAACACAAAGCAACAAGACUCACACAAUUGUGCUGAAUUCAGAAGGUAUUCAGUGUCUUCUGAAUGCAACGAUAAAUGUUUAAGAAUACAGCAGAGAUCCUGAGAACAAAGUGGAAAAUCCUGGAGCCGAGAUGUAGCUCAGAAAAUCCGGCAGGAGCAGAUUCUGUCCUUCCUACAUCUGUCUUCUCCACUAGUCUUGCCGACUUGGGACAGUAAAGCUGGUAAAAGUCACAUGGCAGGAGGAUUCACGUUUCCAAGACAGCAGUUCUGAGAGUGAUGAUGAGCCUGAGACGUGAGAAACUGAAACGGACCAGGAAAUGCAAGUUUGUUUCUUUACCACGCACAGAAAGUGCUAGAGUUGUCUUCUUCUUUGAAGAUGAUGUACGCCUAAGAGAUAAUUGCCUAAUAGGAAUCUGGACUUUUAGAGCUUACCAAAACAUUAGCCAGCUGAGAGGUUACCUAGACGUUUUGGAUCCUUUCAGAGGGCCCAAAGUUAUUUUGUAGAUCAGUAGAGCUCAGUGAAGAAAAAAGUGGGUUGGGAAGACCGACGUAGAUUAUUGCUUGAGGAGCAGCUACUUAACUGUAUGUAAAGGAUGUAUUUAAGAGAGAGAGUGAAUUUAGAGACUUCUCCUAAUAGUGGAUUCAGGAACUUCUCAGAAGAAUUUGUUAGAUUUUUAUUUUUUAGAUUUAUUUCCUGGAAUGCUGAAGGAAGCAUAAGGAUACCAAAUAGAAAGCGCAAGGAAACCAAUAAACUCUUUACGCUUUAAAUAGAAACGUGCCACGUUUGUUCCUUGAAGAAGUUGCCAAACAAUGCUACUUUCAAAAUCCUUUCAAA
Molecule: non-coding RNA, 4548 nt
Organism: Taeniopygia guttata (zebra finch)
Lineage: Eukaryota; Metazoa; Chordata; Aves; Passeriformes; Estrildidae
Source: RefSeq, a predicted model, not a curated record